Molecule: ribosomal RNA, 253 nt
Filed under: uncultured bacterium
Lineage: Bacteria
Description: partial 16S ribosomal RNA
Rfam family: Bacterial small subunit ribosomal RNA
Source: RNAcentral
UACGUAGGGUGCAAGCGUUGUCCGGAAUUAUUGGGCGUAAAGAGCUCGUAGGCGGUUUGUCGCGUCGAAUGUGAAAACCCGGGGCUCAACCCCGGGCCUGCAUUCGAUACGGGCAGACUAGAGUUCGGUAGGGGAGUCUGGAAUUCCUGGUGUAGCGGUGAAAUGCGCAGAUAUCAGGAGGAACACCGGUGGCGAAGGCGGCGUUCUGGACUGCAACUGACACUGAUGAACGAAAGCCAGGGGAGCAAACGGG